UGGGGAAUUUUGGACAAUGGGCGCAAGCCUGAUCCAGCAAUGCCGCGUGCAGGAUGAAGGCCUUCGGGUUGUAAACCGCUUUUGUCAGGGAAGAAAAGGGUGUUUCUAAUACAGACGCCUCAUGACGGUACCUGAAGAAUAAGCACCGGCUAACUACGUGCCAGCAGCCGCGGUAAUACGUAGGGUGUAAGCGUUAAUCGGACUUACUGGGCGUAAAGCGUGCGCAGGCGGUUAUGCAAGACAGAGGUGAAAUCACCGGGCUCAACCUGGGAACUGCCUUUGUAAAUGCAUAGCUAGAGUACGGUAGAGGGGGAUGGAAUUCCGCGUGUAGCAGUGAAAUGCGUAGAUAUGCGGAGGAACACCGAUGGCGAAGGCAAUCCCCUGGACCUGUACUGACGCUCAUGCACGAAAGCGUGGGGAGCAAACA
RNAcentral lists this ribosomal RNA (427 nucleotides) under uncultured bacterium. RNAcentral's name for it is "bacterial SSU rRNA". It matches the Rfam family "Bacterial small subunit ribosomal RNA", at positions 355 to 774 of the family's 1533-position model. The record is from RNAcentral.